Molecule: long non-coding RNA, 1283 nt
Organism: Panthera uncia (snow leopard)
Lineage: Eukaryota; Metazoa; Chordata; Mammalia; Carnivora; Felidae
Exons: 3
Source: RefSeq, a predicted model, not a curated record
GUGCACUGUGGGGCCGGCACUGCCGAGCGGGACGCUCCUCGCCGCCUGGCGAGGUGGGGAGAGGCUAUGAGGCCUGUGGCCACCCGUCCGCCGGGGUCCUGACACCCGGGACGGCCGGCGGCGAGAGGGGCGCUCGCCGGGGUGGCCGUGCUCUCUGUUCGCCUGCUGGGCUCGCCCCCGGGCCGUGGUUCUCAGCAGUGCUCUGGACUGCGGCCUGCCCUCAACAGAUUGGAUAUAACCAUCCACAUUGGAGAGGACCAUCUGCUUUAUUCAGCCUACCAAUUCAAAGACUAAUCUCUUCUGGGAACACCCUGACAGAUGAAUUCAGAAAUAAUUUUUAACCAGCUACCUGGGCAUUUUGUAGCCUAGUCAAGUUGACACAUAAAAUUAACCACCUUUGCAGCCAGGGUGGUGGACUUUCAUCUUCACGUGGCUGUAAUAAGGUGGGGUCUUCAUUCUUGUGUUUGUGUGAUGUCACAGGAGGCCUGAAAAAAAAAAAAAAGAUUUAAAUAAGAUCCAGAGUCUCAUAACACGAUACUCAAAAUGUCCAGGGUACAUUUGAGAAUCAUUCAUCAGACCAAGACUGUCUCAAUGAGUAAGCUAGAAGACAGUGGGCAGAUGCAUUCUAAGUGCUCAAAGAAAAAGAAUCUCUCAACCGACAACUCUAUAUCCAGCAAAACUGUCCUUCAGAAGUGAGGAAGAAAUCAAGACAUUACUUGAUAAAAGCUGAGGGAGUUUGUGACCACUAGACCUGCUCUGCAAGAAAUGCUUAAGGGAACCCUGCAAAAUGAAAGGACACUGGACAUUAGCCUGAAGCCAUGAGGAGAAAUAAAGAUCUCAGUAAAAAUAAACACAUGAACAGUUAUAAAAGCUAGGAUUAUUGUAAUAGCUUGUAACUGUGCUUUUUCUUUUUUAUGGAAUUUAUGAUACUAAUGCAUUUAAAUAAAAAAUGCUAAUGUAAUUAUUACUGUAACUUUGCUUUGUAACUCCAAAUCUUAUUUUGUACAUAAUUUAGGAGACUAAUGCAUUUAAUAUACUAACUUAUGUUUUGGAGCAUACAAUGUAUAAAGAUGUGGUUUUGUGACAUCAACAACCAAAAAGUUUAGGGACAGUGUGAAGGAGCAGCUUUUUUUUGUGUAUUAUUGAAGUUAAGGUGCUAUAAAUUCAAAUUAGAGUUUGACAGCUUUAGGAUAUUAAGUGUGAGUCCCCAUGGCAACCACAAAGAAACUAGCUAUAGAAUAUAUACAAAAGGAAAGUAAGAAGGAGCUUAAACAUUUUGCUAC